GGAGUCUCCUACCGUGGCAGCGGGCUCGCCCGCUACCCGACGAUCACGGCCCCCCUCACGGGGGGUACCCCCCACCCUUGUGUAUUAUACCUUUGUUGCUUUGGCGGGCCGCGUCAAGCCACCGGCUCACGCUGGUGAGCGCCCGCCAGAGGCCCCAACUCUUGAUUUUAUGAUGUCUGAGUACUAUAUAAUAGUUAAAACUUUCAACAACGGAUCUCUUGGUUCUGGCAUCGAUGAAGAACGCAGCGAAAUGCGAUAAGUAAUGUGAAUUGCAGAAUUCAGUGAAUCAUCGAAUCUUUGAACGCACAUUGCGCCCCGUGGUAUUCCGCGGGGCAUGCCUGUUCGAGCGUCAUUAUGACCAACAUCACGCCUGGCGUGGUCUUGGGGCUGGCAACUCUGCCGCCCUCAAACGCAGUGGCAGCGCCGCAUGGCUCUUAGCGUAGUAAUACUCCUCGCUAUAGGGUCCUACGGUUGCCCGCCAGCAACCCCCAAUCUUUACAGGUUGACCUCGGAUCAGGUA
RNAcentral lists this ribosomal RNA (520 nucleotides) under Ascocoryne sp. Di280-1. Its description in RNAcentral is "eukaryotic LSU rRNA". The stretch from base 199 to 352 matches the Rfam family "5.8S ribosomal RNA". The record is from RNAcentral. Lineage: Eukaryota; Fungi; Ascomycota; Leotiomycetes; Helotiales; Gelatinodiscaceae.